CCUACGGGAGGCAGCAGUGGGGAAUAUUGGACAAUGGGGGCAACCCUGAUCCAGCCAUGCCGCGUGAGUGAUGAAGGCCUUCGGGUUGUAAAGCUCUUUUGGCGGGGACGAUGAUGACGGUACCCGCAGAAUAAGCCCCGGCUAACUUCGUGCCAGCAGCCGCGGUAA
This 168-nucleotide ribosomal RNA is filed under the name uncultured bacterium. RNAcentral's name for it is "partial 16S ribosomal RNA". It matches the Rfam family "Bacterial small subunit ribosomal RNA", at positions 338 to 523 of the family's 1533-position model. The record is from RNAcentral.